RNAcentral lists this ribosomal RNA (835 nucleotides) under uncultured Photobacterium sp. RNAcentral's name for it is "bacterial SSU rRNA". It matches the Rfam family "Bacterial small subunit ribosomal RNA", at positions 51 to 873 of the family's 1533-position model. The record is from RNAcentral. Lineage: Bacteria; Pseudomonadati; Pseudomonadota; Gammaproteobacteria; Vibrionales; Vibrionaceae.
ACACAUGCAAGUCGAGCGGUAACAGAAAAGAAGCUUGCUUCUUUUGCUGACGAGCGGCGGACGGGUGAGUAAUGCCUGGGAAUAUACCCUGAUGUGGGGGAUAACUAUUGGAAACGAUAGCUAAUACCGCAUAAUCUCUUCGGAGCAAAGAGGGGGACCUUCGGGCCUCUCGCGUCAGGAUUAGCCCAGGUGGGAUUAGCUAGUUGGUGGGGUAAUGGCUCACCAAGGCGACGAUCCCUAGCUGGUCUGAGAGGAUGAUCAGCCACACUGGAACUGAGACACGGUCCAGACUCCUACGGGAGGCAGCAGUGGGGAAUAUUGCACAAUGGGGGAAACCCUGAUGCAGCCAUGCCGCGUGUAUGAAGAAGGCCUUCGGGUUGUAAAGUACUUUCAGUUGUGAGGAAGGCGUUGGAGUUAAUAGCUUCAGCGCUUGACGUUAGCAACAGAAGAAGCACCGGCUAACUCCGUGCCAGCAGCCGCGGUAAUACGGAGGGUGCGAGCGUUAAUCGGAAUUACUGGGCGUAAAGCGCAUGCAGGCGGUCUGUUAAGCAAGAUGUGAAAGCCCGGGGCUCAACCUCGGAACAGCAUUUUGAACUGGCAGACUAGAGUCUUGUAGAGGGGGGCAGAAUUUCAGUGUAGCGGUGAAAUGCGUAGAGAUCUGAAAGAAUACCGGUGGCGAAGGCGGCCCCCUGGACAAAGACUGACGCUCAGAUGCGAAAGCGUGGGGAGCAAACAGGAUUAGAUACCCUGGUAGUCCACGCCGUAAACGAUGUCUACUUGAAAGGUUGUGGCCUUGAGCCGUGGCUUUCGGAGCUAACGCGUUAAGUAGACCGCC